UGGGGAAUAUUGGACAAUGGGCGCAAGCCUGAUCCAGCCAUGCCGCGUGAACGAUGAAGGCCUUAGGGUUGUAAAGUUCUUUUGUCAGGGAAGAUAAUGACGGUACCUGAAGAAUAAGCACCGGCUAACUUCGUGCCAGCAGCCGCGGUAAUACGAAGGGUGCUAGCGUUGUUCGGAAUCACUGGGCGUAAAGCGCGCGUAGGCGGCGAUAUAAGUCAGAGGUGAAAGCCUGGAGCUCAACUCCAGAACUGCCUUUGAAACUAUAUUGCUAGAGUGUCGGAGGGGAUAGCGGAAUUGCUAAUGUAGAGGUGAAAUUCGUAGAUAUUAGCAGGAACACCGGUGGCGAAGGCGGCUAUCUGGACGACAACUGACGCUGAGGCGCGAAAGCGUGGGGAUCAAACAGGAUUAGAUACCCGCGUAGUCCCUGAGCGGGCUGGCAAGGCGCAU
This 447-nucleotide ribosomal RNA is filed under the name uncultured bacterium. RNAcentral's name for it is "bacterial SSU rRNA". It matches the Rfam family "Bacterial small subunit ribosomal RNA", at positions 355 to 825 of the family's 1533-position model. The record is from RNAcentral.